Molecule: long non-coding RNA, 862 nt
Filed under: Parus major (Great Tit)
Lineage: Eukaryota; Metazoa; Chordata; Aves; Passeriformes; Paridae
Description: lncRNA (ENSPMJG00000002998.1)
Source: RNAcentral
AUUUAUUAUGACUUUCUUGGUUAGAAGAACUAAACCUCAUUAAUUUCUUUUGACGAAGUUAUUUUAGCCAAAGUCCCAAACCUUCCAGCUAUCUGUGCUCUUGGUUAUAUUGGUGUAUACUUAGUUGAAAAUCUACAGAAGACUGAAGAGACCAAACAACUUAUGAUGUUGAAAUUCAAAUUAUAUAUCUAACCAAAAAUAUUGAAAACUUCUGAUAUUUUACAGAUAAUGUUCUGUAAGCUUUUCAGGCAUUGAUAGACCUAUGGUAUCAACCUCUGCAGUUGUUGCAAUAAGAAUGAGACAAAGCAAAUCCUUUUUGAACAGAGCCAAAUGAAUUUCAAAACAGAAGAGCAGAGUUUCAAGUUCAGGUGAGUAACAGAACAAAGGAACCUGCCUAUGCCCAGAUUGGUCUAGGUGCCCACCAGUCUACCAUGUUUGUCAACAACUGAAUCCUGCCAGGGCUCCUGCCAUUUCUCCUGCCCAAUCUCCUCAUCAGGCUGCCUGCAACUACUUUGGAGCACAGGAUUCCAGGUUUCCAGACCUAGCAGAAGCCUAGCAGUCUGAAGCAGAUAAAAAAUUAGGAUGGACAAUAUGUUGGAAAGACAUUUACAUAAACAGUGAGCAGUAGUGAACAGGAAAAACCAAUCUGAUGAUCCAGUGAGUAACUGCUUAUUUCAAAGACUCAGGGAAUGUCAAGCAAGAAGAAAAAGUACAUUCCAGUCACUAUCCAGCAACCUUGAGUAUGGAUCUGUAAUGGAAUCUAAUGGAUCUGUAUGGUUUUAUGCACAUGUAAAAUAGCAUAAAAAUGGCAGACUAUUGGGACACAAAUAAACAUCCCAUUGCUUUUUAUUGUUGGCCUUUG